GAUGUCUACUAGUUGUCGGGUCUUAAUUGACUUGGUAACGCAGCUAACGCGUGAAGUAGACCGCCUGGGGAGUACGGUCGCAAGAUUAAAACUCAAAGGAAUUGACGGGGACCCGCACAAGCGGUGGAUGAUGUGGAUUAAUUCGAUGCAACGCGAAAAACCUUACCUACCCUUGACAUGUACAGAAUCCCGAAGAGAUUUGGGAGUGUUCGAAAGAAAACUGUAACACAGGUGCUGCAUGGCUGUCGUCAGCUCGUGUCGUGAGAUGUUGGGUUAAGUCCCGCAACGAGCGCAACCCUUGUCAUUAGUUGCUACGAAAGGGCACUCUAAUGAGACUGCCGGUGACAAACCGGAGGAAGGUGGGGAUGACGUCAAGUCCUCAUGGCCCUUAUGGGUAGGGCUUCACACGUCAUACAAUGGUACAUACAGAGGGCCGCCAACCCGCGAGGGGGAGCUAAUCCCAGAAAGUGUAUCGUAGUCCGGAUUGUAGUCUGCAACUCGACUACAUGAAGUUGGAAUCGCUAGUAAUCGCGGAUCAGCAUGUCGCGGUGAAUACGUUCCCGGGUCU
Molecule: ribosomal RNA, 568 nt
Filed under: Collimonas sp.
Lineage: Bacteria; Pseudomonadati; Pseudomonadota; Betaproteobacteria; Burkholderiales; Oxalobacteraceae
Description: bacterial SSU rRNA
Rfam family: Bacterial small subunit ribosomal RNA
Source: RNAcentral